GAGGAGAAGAAGGAGUAAUGGACGAGGAAGAGAAAGUUGCUUUGCAGAUGAUAGAGGAGCUUCUCAAUACAAACUAAAUAUUAUUUGCUUAUAUAUAGCUAUUUUUAUUGCUGAUUUACAGCCAUAAUUAUUAAUUAUACCUCCCAAGAACAAUGUUCAUCACGAACAGACUAAACACGUUAGCAGGAAACUCCACUUCAUCAGAGACAUCAUCGAGAAAGGGGAAGUGACAGUUGAGAAGAUACACACUUCGAAGAACCCUGCAGACAUAUUAACUAAGGUCGUUCUUGUGAAGAAGUUUGAAGCGGCUCUGAGGGUUCUCGGAGUGGCCAAGCACUGAGGUGUUUGGCAUUGCCUGGCAAGACACGAGAUGGCAACAUGGUAGCUGCAGAUAAAGCUGAUUAAUCAUCAAGGUGGAGAUUGUUACGUUGGUGAUGAAGAAUCAGUUAUAUUGGAAGCUUGAACCAGUCGAGAUUGACAAUUGGGUUAUAUGGCGUUUUGGGUUAAACCGCCGGUUAGAUAUUACUCAAUGGUUUACGGUUAUUGAAAACCGGUUAUCAGUUGUAACUAUCCUUGCCUAAUAUAAAAGCAAAGCUCGUGAGUUGCAUUAGUUAUCAGAGAAAGAUAGAUUGUACUAGGGUUACAAACUUUAGGUCACGGCCGUUGUGAUCUUGGAAGAGUUUAGUAAUUUGCCUUGCCAGGCCCCAGAGACGUAGCCACAUCGGUGAACUAUGGGUAAUCAAUUAAUCUCUGUGUGUGCUCCUGUUCUUAUUUCGUUUCUCUUUCGUUCUCUUGCGUGUUUGUGUUCCUGAGUGUUUUUCCGUGAGAGUUCGUGUCGCGAAUUGUGCAACGUCGGUUUGAGGUUGAACAGCUUCGCAGUUCAUAUCUAACAUCAAACGAACUUGAUUCCUAACAAUGUGGACAAUUGAUUGGGAUGUACGUUCGUAGGUAUGCUAAAAACAAUGUACACGGCCAUGUGACACUUGUACAACUUGUGCCUUCCCUACAUAUAUACGAUCUUAUCUUCGAAAUUUAAAUAGUUUUACACUUAUAACCAUACAUCCUUAACCUUAGCAAUCACUCUAUACCAACAACUCCAGCUAAAUUCUCUCUCUGUAAUAGACUAGCUAGCGAGGACGUCACAAAUGUAAUAAGGGUAAGAACAAGUACAAACCUUUCAUCUACCAAAAUUUAACCAGUGUAUAUAAAUAUACAACAUUACUAUUUACCAAACAUCCAUCUUACAUAUACUACUCGUCAUCAAGAAUUCAUGUUCUCUCUCUGACAAAAGAACUCAGAGUAAGUAAGAAAUGGUACAGACGAAGAAGUUCAGAGGUGUCAGGCAACGCCAUUGGGGUUCUUGGGUCGCUGAGAUUCGUCAUCCUCUCUUGUACCUUUCUUCUUUCUUUCCUUUUUUCUAUGUUGUUCAUUUAUUCCCCCUUUCUGAUGCAUUCAGUACACAACCAAACACACACACGCUAACAUAUAUAUACAUGAUCGUUUUACUCAUCUGCUUUCAUCUCUUUAGCUAACACAUAAACCCCAUUUUAAUAUUUUAUUGCUUAUACGGACUAUAUUGUAUAACAUGCAUGAUCAAAGGAAACGGAGAAUUUGGCUUGGGACGUUUGAGACGGCAGAGGAGGCAGCAAGAGCCUACGACGAGGCUGCCGUUUUAAUGAGCGGCCGUAACGCCAAGACCAACUUCCCCGUCAACAACAACAACAACAACAACACAGGAGACACAUCGGAGGGCAAAACCGAUAUUUCAUCUUCUUCAUCGUCAUCUUCUUCAUCGUCAUCUUCAUCACUCUCUUCUAUCCUCAGCGCUAAACUGAGGAAAUGCUGCAAGUCUCCUUCGCCUUCCCUCACCUGCCUGCGUCUUGACACAGCCAGCUCCCCCCUCGGAGUCUGGCAGAAACGCGCCGGUUCCAAGUCUGAUUCCAGUUGGGUCAUGACGGUCGAGCUCGGUCCCGCUAGCUCCUCCCAGGAGCCUACGAAAAAUGCUUCACAAGACGAUGUUGGUCCAUCCACUCAGGUUGGCGGCGGUGGAGGAGGAGGAGAAGAAGGAGUAAUGGACGAGGAAGAGAAAGUUGCUUUGCAGAUGAUAGAGGAGCUUCUCAAUACAAACUAAAUAUUAUUUGCUUAUAUAUAGCUAUUUUUAUUGCUGAUUUACAGCCAUAAUUAUUAAUUAUACCUCAUAUAUGCUAUAUAUCGUGUUUAUAUUUAUAUAUGUGAUAGUUAUAUUUUGUUUUAUAUUUCAUUUUGUGUCCAAUAAAGUGUUAGUAUUUGUAACUACAAUCCAGAAGUGACCU
Molecule: long non-coding RNA, 2312 nt
Filed under: Brassica napus (rape)
Lineage: Eukaryota; Viridiplantae; Streptophyta; Magnoliopsida; Brassicales; Brassicaceae
Description: long non-coding RNA (BNAP_LNC017009)
Source: RNAcentral